Molecule: long non-coding RNA, 313 nt
Filed under: Elaeis guineensis (African oil palm)
Lineage: Eukaryota; Viridiplantae; Streptophyta; Magnoliopsida; Arecales; Arecaceae
Description: long non-coding RNA (EGUI_LNC058290)
Source: RNAcentral
ACAUCGAUUUCCUAGUUGGAUAAGGUUAGGAGUCCUAACUAAUUCAGUCUUUUGAUCAGAUAUGGGCAUCCAAUCUAUUUAAGGAGGGGACCUAACUACCGGUUAGUUAUGCAAGGUUUUGUGCAACAAAACAAAAAAGACCACCAUGAAGAAAAAUAAGUAGGAGCGGAUGCUGAUUUGUUUUUGGGGUGGAGACCCCUUAGGCAUCCUUCUUGUUGGCAUGAAGGUUCCUACCCAAGAUUCCUUUCAGCUAUGAGAUAUGAUCUCACCCUCUCCUUGCUUCCCUUCUGAGGGAUCAAUACCUCAAGGAUCA